Molecule: long non-coding RNA, 577 nt
Organism: Fukomys damarensis (Damara mole-rat)
Lineage: Eukaryota; Metazoa; Chordata; Mammalia; Rodentia; Bathyergidae
Exons: 3
Source: RefSeq, a predicted model, not a curated record
GCCCUGUGGAGCGCCCCAACCGCACCCGGCGGCCCGCAGACCUGUGCUGGGCCCACGCAGCGAGGUGCGUCGCGCCUGUAACCAGUUGUCACCGCGCGUCCUGCGUUUCCUAGGGAGCUAGCGCGUUCCCAGCUCUUGAGAAAUUAGAGCACAAGAGGACCAGGCCAGGGUCUCACUGUAUCCCAGAAUAUCCUUGAACUUGGGGCAGCCCUCCCUGCCUCCGUCUCCCAAAGGCUGGGAUUACAGGAGUGCACCACCAUGCCUGGCUGACAUCCUGAAUGUGGGACAGUUUAUGAGACAACCGCCAUGAUCUUUUAAAAUUGACAAAAAAUCUGCCGUAUUUCCAGAGUCUAAAAUGAAUUCCCUUGACGUGCCUGCUCUGAGCUCCCAGGAAUCCUUAGUGUACUAAGAAACCUGAGAGUGCGAUAAAUAAUUGCCAAGGGUACCAGUGAUGCUCCGGAAGAAGACUGAUGCGCAGACAGUUUCUUCUGGAGACAAACCUGGGCUAGAAGAGUGGUGGCGCACACCUGUAAUCCCAGCACUCGGGAGGCUGAGGCAGGAGGAUCGCUGUGAUUUC